Molecule: long non-coding RNA, 33240 nt
Filed under: Sorghum bicolor (sorghum)
Lineage: Eukaryota; Viridiplantae; Streptophyta; Magnoliopsida; Poales; Poaceae
Description: long non-coding RNA (SBIC_LNC015522)
Source: RNAcentral
GGCAUCCUUUAUUUAACACAUAGGAAAACACGUAUAACAUACGUGUUAAAUUACGCAACCAUCAUAUCUACUAAAUACAAAUACCAUCCCAGGCUACGAAAAAUAAAAUGCAGCUGUCAUAACCUUUAUUGACAAAUCGACAGCUCUCCACAUAGUCAGCUUUUAUUUCCACUCAGCUCAGGAAAUUAACCUUUAGGAAUUAAUGAUAACAUGCAGCGGUCGUAAAAUAAGAAGGGAAGGAUAUAACAAACAACAAAGAGCAGUUCAUCACAAACAGCACAGGCAUUGCAACCGGGCGACGGAUCGAUCGAUGAUGGGCUGAUGGAGAGCCGCUGCGAUGGAUUAACAAUUAUACGGAGGCCAACGUGGCAUCAUCGCUCAAUUAGCCAAUGUAGUAGAGGGGGUCAGGCAGCUUGAAGGUGCGAGCACCCUCCGGCGCGCCCAGGAUGUCGCUCCACUGGUCGCCGAUGUUGCCGACGAUGACGUACCCGGCGUCCUGCAGCUUCUGCCGCUCGCCGGACUUGUAGGCGAUGGCGGUGGCCUUGAGCCCGACGGGCUUGAGCAGCAGGUCCAUCCAGCCGGAGUAGCCCUGGCGGCGGAGGUUGGUGACGGUGAUGGCCCUCUGGUCCUCGGUGCGCCCCGUCAGGAACACCGGCUUGAUGCCGAGCGAGAUGAGCUUCUUGAAGAGCCGCUGCGACUCCGGCAGCACCGGCGCGCUCCCCUCCAGCACGUACUCGUUGAAGCUCGUUGCGUUGUACGGCUUAGUGCUACACAAUGACAGUGAAACAACAGUCAGCUACUCUAUCUGUCCAUGAAAAAAAACACUUUUUAAGAAUUUAUAUUAGUUAAACUUUUUUUAAAUUUAAUUAAUAACUUUAUAGAAAAAAGUAAUAACAUCUAUAAUAUAAAAUGUAUCUCUUAUAAAAAUAUAUUCUAUGAUAAAUCUAAUAAUAGUAAUUUGAUAUUAUAAAUCGUGUAUUUUUUAAAAAAAUUGUUAAAGUUUAAAAUUUUUAACUGAGGUCAACUUUCGAAAUUGUUUCUUUCGUGUACAGAGAGAGUAGGGGUUAAGUAUAGUUGGCACCAUGCGUUAGACAGUAACAUAAUUUUUCUUUGUGGGUGAACAGUAGACAACCUGCUUUUGGAUAGGACGGUAUCAAGAUUCCAGAAAUUGAUAAGGUUUCUGUAGCCAGAAAGCAGUUGGCCAAGUGGACCAGUGAUAUAUCUACUGUAUGUAUUCUGCACGUACGUGGUCCUGCUCUGAUCUGGCAUAAUCUCAUCAACGUCCCCGUCAGGCAUUGUUUUGCUCGGCACAUGCAGACAUGCUGCCCUUGUCCUUGUCCCAGCACCAUCAUAUCUGUGCCCCUUUCUUUGAGAUAGAGGACACAGAAACUAUACAUAUACAUAGGUUUUCUACUGUGGACUACUCCAACAUGGCCAAAUGCAAUUACGUUUGCAACAUAUGUAAUAUGCAAAUAUAAGAGUUUCUAACUUUGUCCUAAACUAUUACUACAAGUAUGAUUAAGUUAAUAGAAAAAACAACAAUAUUUAUGACUGAUACCAAUUGAGCAUUAUGAGGUCCACUCAAUUAAAGAUAUAUAUAUAUAUAUAUUUUUACAUUUUUCUUCUUUGAUGUCAGAGAUGCUCAUACACAAAAUUAGUCAAACUUCCAAUAGUUGCAUUUAGAAAUAGGAUCAGAAGCAUUUUGUACUUUUGGAUGGUGGGAGUAGACCGAUUUAAUGUCUUUCUAAGUAAAAUUUAUCUAAUAUUAAACAAUACAAGUUUAUAUAUAAAACAAUGUAUCGAUAUCUAUAAUACCACAGAAAUGAACUGUAAAGAUAUGGUGGCACGUAUUUUGUUCUAUAUAAAAUUUUAAACUGCUUACACCUUGAAAUUAAAUGGACGGAGUACCUAGUGUUGAAGUAACUUCUAUAAAUAAAAAAAACAAUGUUCGGUUAUCAAAUGAUAUGCUGGAUUUUAUAUACGCGACAUUUUAAAUUGGAUUUUUAGUGGCAGAUGGCCUAACUACCGGAUCUAAAAAUAUGACUAUUUGUACUUCCUUGCGUCUGACAUAACCCAUAAACCACCACCAGUACAAAACUAAACAUAUAUAUAUAUAUAUAUAUAUAUAUAUAUAUAUAUAUAUAUAUAUAUAUAUAUAUAUAUAUAUAUAUAUAUAUAUAUAUAUAUAUAUAUAUAUAUAUAUAUAUUCUACUAGUAGUAGUUUUAAUCAACUAUUAGUAAAAAUAGGAGCAUUUGUACUAAUGGUCAUGUGACAUAAAACGCAACUGAAAUGAUUUUUUUUCACUAGCCGUUCUUGUGUGUUAGCCCCCCAAAAAUAACUGCUAUUAGCGUCUCCUUUUGUACAUCGUCAGUAAAAAAAAAAUAAGUAGCGCACUGUAAUGAAAACCGUCUCUAUAUAUUAGUCAGGCUAGCUAAUUCUGCGCUGGAGAAUAUAUAUGCGUACUAGCCAUGAAACAACAUAAUACGUACCGGCGUACGUACGUACGCCAGCAGCUGCGUGCGACCAGGGCCUUGUUUAGUUCCGAAAAGUGAAAAGUUUUCGGUACUGUAGCACUUUCGUUUGUUUGUGACAAAUAUUAUCUAAUUAUGGACUAACUAUGAUCAAAAGAUUCGUUUCGUGAUUUACAACUAAACUGUGUAAUUAGUUUUUAUUUUUGUCUAUAUUUAAUGUUUUAUGCAUGUGCCACAAGAUUCGAUGUGACGGGAAAUCUUGAAAACUUUUUGGUUUUUAAGGUGAACUAAACAAGGCCAGGUUUGCUCUGGGACGUACGGACGGAGUACUUGCCGUCAACUAUAUACACGGGUAUCGAAUAAAAACCAUUAAACAACGUGUGUGUAUAACGUACGUACCCGAAGCCAUGGGUGGCAUAGUAGGGGAGGUUGGAGAGGGACGUCUCGUCGAUAUCGAACACCCACACCUCCUUGCCGUUGCCGGCGAGCUUGAGCCCCUCGGCGUACGCGAUAGCCUCGUCGACGACGACGCGGGAGUCCCGGCGGUAGUGCCCGCCGAGCAUGUAGUGGCCGACGUAGCCCUCGCAGCUGCCCGGCACCGUCGUCCAGUCGCGCUUGUUGUACGUCUCCACGGCCAGCCGCCAGCUGUCGCACGGCACGCCGGCGCGCAGGCCCAGGUCUCCCGCGGAGCCCAUCAGGGGCCGCAGCGCGUGGAUCAGCGACGACGACGCCGACGCCGACGACGCCGCCGACGACAGGUCUUCCUUCAGGCGCUCCGCGGCGGCCUCGACGGACUGCGCCGCCGUCGUCGUCGGCAGCGUCCGGAGGAGGCUCAGUGGCCCCCGCCAGGCGCUGCCGCCGCAGGAGCUGCCGGCCACGAGGACCAUCAGGAGGACGAGCUUGGCCGUGGCCAUUGCCAUUGCCAUUGCGACUGCGCCACGCACCCGAUCUGCUGCGUGCUAGGAGAACACUCUGUGUGUCCCCUGUUCUAUCUGCGAUGCACAGCACAGGCGUGGUUGUGUGAACUUUAAUAGAGCAUGCGUGUAGUGUUGAGGGCCCACAUGUCAUCAGCCCAGCGCGUGAACCACGUGGAGUAUGGUCACUGACGUUGAUGGGCAGGUUUGGACGGGCGCGAUGGGACGAAUGGUAGUGGACAAGCGCUGCUGGCCGUGUACCCAUUAUUGGAUGACAAUGGGUAGUUUUGGGUUGGAUAUCUUUGGGUUUCAGGUUCAGGUUUGGAAGGGAUUUCUCACCCAUGCUUUUUGGGUUUGGGAGCCCAAAACCUAUUGCAUUCGGUUGCGGGUUUGAUUUUUUCAUCCGAUGGUAUCCAAUGGAUACCAGAUUUGAAUCAUUUGGUACCAAAAAAUCGAGUAUCCAUUGGGUAGAAAAAAAGUUAUUCCUGGAUCAUUUGGUACCAAAAAAUCGCCCAAAACCUAUUGCGUUCGGUUGCGGGUUCAGGGAAUCAUUUUGGGUAUCCAAUCGAGUUUCGGGGAUUCGUGGGUAUUAGUUUCAGGGAUGGAUUUCCAUCCAAGUUUGGUGUUUGAGGCGGUUCAGGUUUUCAGUUCGAGUUUCGGUUUUGGAUGCCCAGAGACUCCACCCGAUUCAAACCCUAUUGUCAUCCUUAAUUAACCAUGAGAAUGUGAGACGCGGAGGACCGAUAUGAUGACAUAACAGGCACAGCAUGCCUGCAUGGAUGCAUGCAAAAGGUCUGAUAAUGUAAGGUGCCUUGGCUCACCCACUGAGAAGAUACUGACUUGUACAUUUAAUUUAUUUUAUUUAUAAAAAACAUACAUAAAUCUCACAUACGUAUUACACUGAUGAUACGCACAUGAUAUCUCUAUGAAUGAGACCAGGGGUGGGGUGAAUCUUAGCCUUCAUUAUUGGUGUGGCACGAGCAUGACCACAACGAUGAAAUUUGGCAAAAACCAGUGGACACCUAAUUCAUCAUUGUUGGGACCCCGUGAAAUCCGGAUUUGCUCUGAAUAAGGUUAAGAGCAUCUCCAUCACAUUGAUUUAAAUGCAUCCAUUUUCCUUAUAAAGCAGAAAUAAAGGGAAUUGCAAAAAAUGAGCUCCAUGAGAUCCCUUCUCAAUCCUUUUCUCUAUUUUUUUCUCAAUUCGUCAAAUUCUCUCCUCUCUCUCAAACAACGGGAAACUAAUAGGAUUUUUUCUCAAUCCCCUUUCAUCCCUCCUAUUUCAUUGGCAUAUAUGCGGGCCCUGCUAUACCUGAAUGGCACCAUCGACCGCAAAAUAGAGUAGUUGUGGGUAUAGGCCGCUAUAGCUACUCAUAGAUGAUGUAGAGCUCAAUAUAUAUAGGUCGUAGUCGGAUAUUUUGAACAUUGGUACAAACUCGGUGUGUGUAAUAUUGGUACAUAGGUGUAUUUUACAGCUACAUAAAUUAAUUUUAGCCAUGACCAAAAUCAAUUAGUAGAUGCAGUUUUUGAAAAACCACAUGUACCCAAGGGCCCCAAAUCAAGUAUUUUCUAGAUGAAGGUGUUGCAAGGCACCUAAAAAUCGAUUUCUAGAAUAGAUCAGUAAGGUUGCUCUCCCUAGAUAUCUCACGAACUAUCCUAAAUAUAUAGAUAAUGGUCUAUAUAUACAAUUUCUAGAAUGGAUUGGUGAGGUUGCUCUCCCUAGAGAUAUCUCUCACCAACUACAUCUAGAUAUAUAUCAAAUAAAAUAUGUCCUCUUGUGUUGUCAAGGAUUCAGGCCUAUGACUUCAUGCUUUUUUCACAACAACUAUGACUUCAAGCUUGGCGCGAGCCCGCAAUGGGACACAAUCAUUGGUGACUGAAUAUCGGAUGCUAUUCUUUUAUAUUUUUUUACACGAGGAAUCUUCCCAUUUCCAUUGAUGACCCAAUAUAAUGGAAAUACAACAUUUAAGAGGUUACACAACAAUAUAAGAUGAAUAAUUCACUAGAAUAACCACAAAACAUCAGGCCUAUAUCAGGUGCUACAUAGAGCUAAAUUGAAUAAUACUUUGACAAACCAGGGAACACCUUGCCCAACAGUUAGAGAAAACUAGAUAAUUAAAAAAUAGAGUUUUUCUACAAAGAAAGGCCAUCCAAAUGCCACAAGUGCUGAGGCAGUCAAGCGCCAGUAGGCACCUUUCACCAUCUUCAAUCUUGAUCAUCGUCUUGGUUAUCCUCCAACAUGAGUUGCCAGCUGUGGGGGUAUAAACCCCUAUACCCUUACGGCUAGACUUCGGCCAGGAAGCUUGGCCCAGUACGAGACGAGUUCAAGGCUUGAUCCGACAACCUGGAGUUUCGCGCAAGGAAACAAGAUGGGGAGAUCAAGCAGGAUUCUAGUCGGUUAGAAUAGGAAUUGAUAUCGAAUUAUCCAUGGCAAUUGUAACCGACUAGGAUUAGUUUCCAGAUCUGUAACCCUGCCCUCCGGACUAUAUAAGGAGGGGCAAGGGACCCCCCUAGGACAUCAUAUUCUCUCAGCACAAAUCAAUACAACCAGACGCAGGACGUAGGUAUUACGCCAACUCGGCGGCCGAACCUGGAUAAAAAGCUUGUCCGUGUCUUGCGUCACCAUCGAGUUCGUAGUUUGCGCACCGUCUACCGAUAAACUACUACCGAGGGUAUACCCCAAGGUAGACUGCCGACUAGCUUUCGUCGACAGUGGCGCGCCAGGUAGGGGGUGUGCGUGCAACUUUUCCGGCGAACAAGAUGGUCACGAUCCCAGCUUCCGCGACCGUGCCCGAAGGCCUCACGUUCACCGUCGGCCAGAUCACGUGGACGACGUGCAGCGGCGGCUUCGCGACCAUGGUUCCGAAAGAGAUCCAGAUCCAAUCUGAGAUCACGCCGUCUCCGACCACACGCAUGACGGCACCAAGCUCCCGACCACCGUUCCCACUCUACAAGGGAAAGGAGAUCGACUGCUCGGACCUCCUCCAAGCGCUCGAUCGCGCUGACUCCAAGCUACUCGAAGUCUCCCAACUAAUAGAUGGAGUUCUGGGCCGGCCCGACCAAGCUGCUCGAGCGGAUUUUUCGAAAUCCCGCCGGCCAACUCGUGUCGCCACACACGAACGGCUGGGAACGUCCCUGACGAUAACCUCAACCCCCUCAGGACGAUCCGUCGAGCUCAAAAAGGAAGACUAUCCUUGCGGCCUGAACAACUCGGCCUCUGUUUACUCACAGCAUGUCCAAUCCGUUUUCAGCAAGGCGGGUUGGUCGCCGACAAGGAACAACCGUCACCAUGUCAACAUGGUGACAAUCCGAGAGCUACGGGACGGCCAGGUUUCCAGCACCAACUCAAGCACCGGCUCCGUCCCCACCGAGGUUAUAAACACCGAAGACGAGGGCUACGACCUGGAUUUUCCUUCACACCCUCCGGGUUUCGACCGAUUCCCGAUAUUCCCCCCCCCCCGGCGAGGGGAUAUUGUGUUCAAUGUUAGCGCCGACGAACCGGCUGUUGACGGAGAAACAGAUGACCAGAGGCAACUCCGCGAACAGCGUAACGCCGAUCGCGCCCGACGGCGUGCGGACGAGCAACAACAGAUGCCACCAAGUAACCUCAAUGAUGCCUUUGACAUGGUCGGGGACCAGCCGGUCUACAAAACGCCAAGCGCCAACGUGGCUGUCGCCAUGGCCAACCUGGAUCGGCUUCCUGACACCCCCGAGUGCCAGGGAGUCCGGACCAGCAUCCGAGCACACCUGAUCGCCGUAAUGGGACAGACAGCCACUCUGCUCAAGAGAGUCCAGGACGUCUCUUAUACGGAAGCCGCCUCCGACCAGACUAAUCGUAGCCAGGUCUCACCCAGCAGGCGUCACCGCAGCCGCUCCCCCGACAACAGUCGAGGGGACUCGCGGCGCGACGAUGGUGGUCGGGACGCCGAUGGCCGCCGCAAGCAAAUUCAUGGCGUACGCGGCCAAGAAGAAGAUCAACACAGGGAUCUCCGCCACAACAUCCCUCCCAAAGAUGCCCGGGACCGCAUCAACAGGCGCGCCGCAGAGAGUGCAGUCCACGAAAACCUGCGCCGCAUCGAGUACGAUGCGACCCACGGUCCUCCGGGCCUAAGACAGUUCUCCUCACACCUCCGCCAGGUCGUGUGGCCCCGCAAUUUCAAGCUCGAAAAACUUAAAAAAUACGACGGCAAGGAAAAUCCAGAGAACUGGAUCACUCUCUAUGAAAUCGCCGUCCGAUCAGCGGCAGGAGAUGAGCACGUCAUGGCUAACUACUUCCCCGUAGUCCUCGACCAGGAUGGUCAUCAGUGGCUUCUCGGCUUGCCCGAGGACUCCUUCGACUCCUGGGAAGAGCUACGCCAGGCUUUCAUCGACAACUUCAUCGCCACAUGCGAGCUGCCCGGAAACAAGUAUGACCUUGAAAGGAUAAGAGACAGGAAGAAUGAACCUCUGCGCGAUUACAUCCGACGAUUCUCGGAUAUGCGCCUCAAAAUCCCGAAGAUUUCUCAUGACGAGGCCAUAUCAGCCUUUAUCAAGGGCUUGCGUUUCCAUGAAGCGCUGAGGAACAAGCUGUUGCGUAAGCGCCCAUCAACGGUAGCAGAGCUCCUCGCCACGGCUAAAAAUUACGCCGACGCUGAUGACGCAGAAAAACUAAUCCGAGACGAUGCGAGAGGCCCCGACCAGCCUUCCCGGCGAGAUGACGGUCGUGGUCGCUACGACAACAGAAAUCACCGCCGCUCCGACAACCGCGAUCACCGAGAGGGUUGGGAUCGGCGGCGCGACAGCCGCGACGACUUCAGAGGAAAGCGCCCUCGCGAAUACGACCACGAAGUAAAUACGGUCAAACGUCCCAAUGGACGACGGGACUACCAAGACGACUACAACAAAACGUUGAAGGGACCGUGCCAGCUACACCCAAAGUCUAACCAUACCAUGGAAGAGUGCCGCGUCCUCAAAAGUAUCUAUACACGGCGGGCCGCCCAAGAGGACUCCGCCAAGAAGAAUAACAAGCGCGACGGGCACGACCACGAAGAUGAGGAUGAGGACCAAGACAGGGACCCCCGACACCAAUACGUCAGCCCCACCGACGUGGUCCACUCCAUUUUCGGGGGCAAGGUCUCCACUGAGUCCAAGCGAGAAAGAAAGCUGUUAAAGAGAGCCUGCCUCAACAUAGACAGCACGGACGGGCUGAUCGCAGAUCCGAAAUUUCCCGCGUGGUCCCACAGGGAGAUCUCGUUCAGCAGGAAGGACCAGUGGGCCGCUAUCCCAGAGCCGGGUCGUUUCCCACUGAUUCUUGAUCCCUGCAUCAAUAGCAUCAGAUUCGAGCGCGUGCUCGUGGACGGGGGAAGCUCCAUCGACAUCCUCUUCCGCAACAGCCUGCCCGCCCUCAAGAUAUCACCGGCACAACUAAAACCUUACGACGCCCAAUUCUGGGGGGUUUUGCCAGGUCAAAGUUCGGUGCCCCUCGGACAGAUAACAUUGCCUGUCCAAUUCGGCACACCCGAUCACUUCCGGACGGAGUUCAUCAACUUCGUAGUCGCGGAUUUCGACGGGACCUAUCACGCCAUACUGGGCCGCCCAUCGCUGACAAAGUUCAUGGCAGUCCCGCACUACUCAUACCUAGUCCUUAAGAUGCCCACGGAGAAGGGUGUCCUAACCGUCAGAGGCAACGUCUACACCGCGUACACCUGCGAAGAAGAAAGCUUCAAGAUCACCGAGGCAAUCGACCUCUCAAUCCGCAUGGCGGAAACAGCAAACCAAGCCGCACAGCUGCCUCCCGACCAGCUCCGAUUACCUGAGCAGGAGACAGCCAGAAAGAACUCGAAAUCCAAGGAGUACAAAGAAGUGCAGCUGGUCGAAGGCAACCCCGAGAAGACAGCCCUCAUCGGGGCUAACCUGGAUCCAAAAUAGGAAGACGCGCUCGUCAGGUUUCUAAGGGACAACGUGAGCGUUUUCGCAUGGAAACCCGCAGACAUGCCCGGUGUCCCACGAAACCUGAUCGAGCACUCCUUAAAUGUCUCGAAGACCGCAAGACCAAUCAAGCAAAAACUGCGACGGUUCGCUCGUGACAAAAAGGAGGCUAUUAGGACAGAAAUAACACGGCUUCUAGCAGCCGGAUUCAUAAAAGAAGUGUAUCACCCCGAUUGGCUCGCCAAUCCGGUUCUUGUACGCAAAAAGAGUAAUGAAUGGAGAAUGUGCGUUGAUUACACCGAUCUCAACAAACACUGUCCUAAAGAUCCUUUUGGUCUUCCUCGCAUCGACGAGGUGGUCGACUCAACGGCCGGAUGCGAACUCCUCUCCUUUCUAGAUUGCUACUCUGGUUAUCACCAGAUCUCGCUAAAGGAAGAAGAUCAGAUCAAAACAUCCUUCAUCACACCCUUCGGCGCAUACUGCUACACUACCAUGUCUUUCGGACUUAAAAACGCCGGGGCCACUUAUCAAAGGGCCAUCCAGCAAUGCCUCCACGACGAGAUUCGCGAUGACCUCGUCGAGGCCUAUGUGGACGACGUGGUCGUAAAAACAAGGGACGCGAGCACCCUAAUCGACAACUUAGACCGAACCUUCAAGGCACUCAAUAGGUACAAGUGGAAGCUCAACCCCAAGAAAUGCAUUUUCGGCGUUCCUUCCGGUCUACUGCUCGGCAACGUCGUCAGUCGCGACGGCAUACGACCAAACCCUUCAAAAGUCAAAGCCGUACUCGACAUGCGACCACCGAAAAACGUCAAGGAUAUUCAGAAGCUAACCGGAUGCAUGGCCGCCCUCAGUCGUUUCAUCUCAAGGCUGGGAGAAAAAGGCCUCCCUUUCUUCAAACUAUUGAAAGCGUCAGAAAAAUUUUCUUGGACAGAGGAAGCCGACGCUGCGUUCACUCAGCUUAAGACCUUCCUCACUUCACCACCUGUCCUCACAGCGCCUCAGCCCAAUGAAGACCUACUCCUUUACAUUGCUGCAACCGACAGGGUUGUUUCCACGGCAAUAGUGGUCGAGCGAGAUGAACCAGGUCACGUCUUCAAGGUCCAGAGACCCGUUUACUUCAUAAGCGAAGUCUUAAACGAGUCCAAGGCCAGGUACCCACAAAUACAGAAGCUUAUAUACGCCAUCCUGAUAACGUCAAGAAAGCUGAAGCACUACUUCGACGGCCAUCGAGUCCUGGUGACAACCAGCUUUCCUCUCGGGGACAUCCUGCGCAAUAAAGACGCCAAUGGCAGAAUCGUGAAAUGGGCAAUGGAAUUAUGUCCAUUUUCCCUGGAGUUCCAGAGUCGCACUACUGUCAAGUCUCAAGCCCUGGUCGAUUUCAUUGCCGAAUGGACGGAUCUCAACGAGCCUUCCGUUCCCGAUGUCUCAGACCACUGGUCAAUGUUCUUUGACGGGUCCUUGAACAUCAACGGUGCAGGCGCUGGGAUAUUGUUCGUAUCACCCAACAAGGACAAACUCCGUUACGUCCUUCGGAUCCUUUUUCCGGCGUCAAACAACGUCGCCGAAUACGAAGCAUGCUUGCAUGGCAUACGACUAGCCGUUGAACUGGGGGUCAAGCGCCUCUAUGUCUACGGCGACUCCGCUUUGGUCAUCAACCAGCUCAACAAGGAGUGGGACGCAACCCACGAGAAGAUGGAUCUCUACUGCAAAGAAAUUCGCAAAUGGGAAACUAACUUCUAUGGCAUAGAGUACAUCCACGUGGUCCGGGAUAAGAACCAAGCAGCAGAUGCGCUGUCAAAGUUAGGCUCAUCUCGGGCCCAAAUCCCGCGGGGUAUUUUCGUCCAAGACAUCCAUGAGCCGAGCGUAAGCUCCCCCCUGGUCGACAAGCAACCCACCGAGGCAAUGCUCAUAGAUGACGCCACUCCGACAACCGGUGGACGUGACUGGCGUACCCCGUUCAUCAAAUACAUAUCAGACGGGACAGGCUUUCAGGACAAAGCAGAGAACGAGCGCCUCAUCCGACGAUCAAAGAACUACAUCCUGGUCGACGGAAAACUCAUGCGAAAAAACGCAAGCUCCGAAGUACUGCUCAAGUGCAUACCCCAAGAUGAUGGUAUCAAGCUCUUGGAGGACAUACACGCUGGAUCCUGCGGCAAUCACGCCGCAUCUAGAACGCUGGUCGGAAAGGCUUUCCGAGCAGGUUUUUAUUGGCCAACCGCGGUCGGCGACGCAGAAAAACUGGUUCGGCAUUGCGAAGGAUGUCAGUUUUUCGCUAAGAGGACCCACGUACCUGCCCAUGAAAUUCAAACCAUCCCGUCGUCUUGGCCCUUUGCUUGCUGGGGGCUUGACAUGAUCGGACCAUUUAAACCAGCCCCGGGCAAUUUCAAGUUUGUCUUCGUGUUAAUCGACAAGUUCUCCAAGUGGAUUGAAUACAUGCCCCUGGUCAAGGCAACCUCCGAGAAGGCUGUGGAGUUCCUCAAUCAAAUCAUACACAGAUUCGGCAUCCCGAACAGCAUAAUCACCGACCUGGGCACUCAGUUUACUGGCACCACUUUUUGGGAUUUCUGCGAUGACAGAGGCAUAGUCAUAAAAUAUGUGUCAGUGGCACACCCACGUGCCAACGGUCAAGUCGAACGUGCUAACGGAAUGAUCGUUGACGCCCUAAAGAAAAGGCUGUACACCGAAAACGACAGAGCACCCGGUCGAUGGAUGAAAGAAUUGCCGGCAGUGGUCUGGGGCCUCCGAACCCAGACCAGUCGAAACACAGGGGUGUCUCCCUACUUCAUGGUGUACGGUGCAGAGGCGGUCCUGCCGUCUGACAUACACUUCGGAUCUCCUAGAAUCGAGCACUUCGACCAGGCGACCGCCGACAACGCCAGAGAACUCGAAAUCAAUUGCAUGGAGGAAAAGCGUUUAGUUUCAUGUCUCCGAACAGCAAAAUAUCUCGCGGCAGUCAGGCGGUACUACAACAGGAACGUCAAGGACCGUUCCUUCGCGGUCGGCGAUCUGGUGCUUCGAUGGAAAACAAGCCAGGAGGGAAUGCACAAGCUAUCCACUCCCUGGGAAGGACCCUUCGUGGUGACCGAGGUCACACGACCUACGUCCUUCAGAUUGGCAUACCCAGACGGAACACGGGUGCCUAACUCUUGGCACAUCGACAAACUGCGACGUUUCUAUCCAUAAAGUUUUAAUGACUUUCUUUUGUAAGUAUCUUAUAAUUUUUGAUAAUGAAAUUCUCUAUUUUUUGCCUAUACCUUGUCACACACAGCACUCGGCAAAACUCCUGCAAUGGAUGCUCUUAGCGACAACCAAGACAAAUACGGUGACACGUCACUCAGAUAUUUUUACAGCGCUCAAAACAACAGUCAUGACAAAAAGUAAACUUUAUUACAAACUUUACAUACAAAGUUUACAAUAAAUACCCUGACGGGCAGACACUAGUCUAUUCCUACAGACUACUUUAUUGGCCUAGCUGCUCGGGCUGAUCACCCGCCUGGCCCUGCUGCCCGGACGAAGGGGUCGGGGCCACCAGCGCCUGGCUGGUCGAGACCGCAGGCGUCGACCGCCCAUCUCCCGCAACGGACGCGCCCGACAACUCCCUGGCCGACCUAUCUGCACUCGGCUGGUCUGGAGGAGUGGCCGUUCCGCACAGAUUGAUGUCGCCGAUCACUGUCGACGACAAGUCCAGCAGACUACCCCGAAGCUCGUCCGCGUCCUGCGGGCCGACUUCCUUCGGGUACCCCUUCUCCAGCCUGCUCAAGUCGACCAGGGGGUAGUGGGCGCGCACCAUGCUGAGGACGUGCGCGCCGGCAAACUCCCCGGCGUCCUUCACAAACUGCUGGAGCCAGUCCCACGCCCGUUGCGCCUUCUCGACCGGGGUCAACUGCGGCGCGCGGGGCUGGCUCUCCGGGAGCUCGGGACUGAUCAGGUCUAGGACCGGGGACACUCCUUUCCAGAUCCUGCAACAGUUGACCUUCCAGGAGUCCCGGUCCUUGGUCAGAUCGUCCAGGUGCUUUUUGGCGUUCACCUUGAGCACUGCAAACGAAACGAAGCGUUAUUUUCGGCAUAAAAAAGGGGCAGGCAGUAACCAACAAGGCGGCAACCAUUACCAGAUAGCUCCCGGUCUUUUCGACCCAAUUCCUCUCCUGCUCGCCGCCCGGACUCCAGCGCACCGGCGAGCUGUUGGCUGAGCUGCUCCUUCUCUUGUCGGAGGCUCGCCACCUCCUCCUCCAAGUCUGCGUGAAUCCUAAGCUGGUCAGCAAAGCAAACUAUACAAGUACGCGAAGCUGCUCGGAGCGUGUGACUAACCUUCUUGCAGCCGGUACUGGUCGGCCAAACGACGAGCGAGGUCGAGACGACGCUCCUUUUCGGCACUCAUCUCGACCACCUUCUCCCCGACCUCCGCCCGCAACCGGUCUACCUCCGCGGCAAGGGCCUUGUUCUCGGCCAUGACGCCUUCUAUCUGGUCAAAGCACCGUUUCCGGUACUUCGCCGUUUUCAUUGCGUCCUGCAAAGCAAGCAUAUAACGACCAUGCAAGACAAGGCAAAAGAAUGUGCAGCAGUACAAAAAGCCGCUUACCUUGACUUCGUCGACGAGGCGCUUGGCCGCGCGCUCCACCCUGGCGGCCUCUUCGGUCUCGGCGAGCUCCUCAUGCCCGAUAAAGUGAUCCCCGCGUUGGCGCCACACAUACACGUGUUGGCGGCCAUCACGGGGACGACCCUCGAUCUCUUCCACCUCAUCAUCGGAGGCCGCCCGGGUUUCCUCCUCCUGUGCUGCGUCACCCCCGGUGGUGGUCCCAGGUAUUACUGGCCCUUGGACCAGACCUGGGGAGCCCGCAGCCGAAGAGGCUCCUGCUCGGGGCGGUGUGGGGACUUCACUCCUCCCGGCAGGAGGAGCGGUCGAAGAUCUCCCCUUCUCUGAGGAGUCAGUUGGGGGAGCCUCUCCAGCCCUGGUCGGGCUGCUUGUCGUAGUCGGUGCCGCGCUCGGGAGCUCCUCGGUGCUCCCAGGCGCGACUGCAGCUGUUGCCUGCUCUGUGGUCUGGGGGGCCGCAUCCCCAGAACCGCGGGCAGGCUCGCCCGUUCCCUGGCCGGCAGUUUGGCCGGGGUCGACAUCCGAUGCCGUACUACAGGAACAAAAGUUAAAAAAAAAAGUCAAAGAGGAGUUCAAAAUACGUAAGUCGAACACUUACAGGUCUGACCGACGGUGGGUCGCGGUGAACCUCCUCCUCGCCCGGCCGGUCGGCACCUGCGCCCCCGUCUCGACAACUUGCGGUGCAGGGGCGCCGCUGGCCACUCGAUCAGUAGCGGCCGGCGCAUUAUCUGGGCGACCCCGGGGCCGUCGGACCAACGACGGCGCAGCCUCCUCGUCGUCGUCGUCGUCGUCAACGAUCCGCACGAGCCGACGACGCUUCGGUGCUUGGCUGCUCUCUGCCGGAAGAUCCGCCGGCAGCUCCGGUGUCGGCAAAGGAUCUGCCGGCAAUGGCCUCUUCCCCGCUACCCUCUCCUCGGAGGUCGGGACGAGGCGGGCUUGGUCUUCCUCACUGCUGGUGUAAUGAGUACACCGAGCAGCGUCUUCCUCUGGCGGGACCUCUCCCGCAGGAUUUUCCAUCCCCGGUGCCAGUGAUACAUACACUGUGCACCGGUCAGCAUCGCCGAUCUGCAAAAGCAACAGAGAUGAGUCAACUGCAGACGAUAUACAAAUGCUAAAACAGAAUCUGCUACAUACCUUUGGUGCUGGUCGUCCUAACUUGAAGGCUUGCACCCGAUCACUGCCACGGAUGAAGCCCCCAUCCGCGAAGUUAAACAGCUCGUUCAACAGCUGUUGUACCUCCACUUUCUCCAAGAUCUCCGACCGCAUCCUAGUCGGGUCUGCGCUUCCGGCAUACUCGUACGCCGAGUGCACCCUCUUCUGGCAGGGCAUCACCCGGCGGCAAAUGAAGUUGCCGACCACGCCAAGCCCGUCCAGGCGCGACCAGUCGAUCAGCUUCAUGAGAUCCGCCACUGGACCGUCGAACUCCGGGCGGUCGGUCCAGCUUGUCCUCUUCUCAGGAAUGUAUCCCACGUCGCAGAACGUGGAGCUGCCCGGUUCCUCCCUGAUGUAGAACCACUUCCUGUACCAUUCGGUCAAGGAAGUGUUCCAUGGGCAGUGCAGGUAGCGAUUCUUCAUUCCAUCACGAAGGUUGAGGUAUACUCCACCUGCAACCUUGGAGCCUCCAACUGCUCCCUUCUUCCUCAAGCAGAAAAGAUACCGGAAAAGAUCGAAGUGCGGCUCUAUGCCAACAUAGGCCUCGCACAGGUGGAUAAAGGUGGAAAUGAGGAGAAUUGAGUUCGGGUGCAGAUUGCAAAUCCCGAUCUCAUAAUACAAAAGAAGACCUUGAAGAAAAGGAUGAACAGGAACACCAAAACCCCUCUUAAUGAAAUCUUCAAAUACGACGAUCUCACCGGCGCGAGGGUCGGGGUAGCUCUCCCCCUCCGGUGCCCUCCAGCCGCCGAGCUCCGGGCCGUGCAGAAGCCCCAUAUCGACGAGGUCACCAAGGGAUUUUGUGGUGCUGCGAGACUUCUUCCACUCCUUGGCCAUCAGUUCGGCCCUCUUCCUGGAGUCGCUCUUCGCCAUUAGAGGUGCGAAUGUGGGCUUGAGUUAGGAAGAUGCAGGAGAUUGGAGAAGAUGAGAGCGGAAGGUUUGAAGGCAAUGGCAGCGAAAGCGGUACAGGCGGACCUAUUAGGCUCUUAUAAGCCCGCAACUCCACCUCUCCCACUUCCUGUAUUCUCGGGAAGUGGGCAGGCCAUGCGGCGGACGCGGCGUUUCGGUUUACAAUGAUUAUAGACAAUUAAUGCGGCGGAGUUUUCGUACCAAUUGAUGGUUUCCUUUUCUCAAACCAUGCAAAGGGCGGCUGUACAGUUGUCAGGUGCAACUUUUCAUGCAUCCGUCUGACACCCCGUCAGGAGGCCUCGUCACGUCAACUUUAACUGGAAAGAUCUUUUCAAAAAUAAGAAGACACAUACGCCAGUGAGUCAACAAUCCGGGGACUGCACCGACCACCGAGCACUCGACGCUCGGGGACUGGUCGCCCAGUCUAUCAGCUCGGAACUUCAAGGACUGCACCGACCACCGAGCACUCGACGCUCGGGGACUGGUCGCCCAGUCUAUCAGCUCGGAACUUCAAGGACUGCACCGACCACCGAGCACUCGACGCUUGGGGACUGGUCGCCCAGUCUAUCAGCUCAAAGCUUUAAAGCAUGCACCGACCACCGAGCACUCGACGCUCGGGGACUGGUCGAACGGUAUAGCAACAUAUAAUUCCAAAGAGCACACUUAGUGCUUGGGGACUGGUCGAUUGGUCUUUUCAUUUGCAGACGAGCACGACAUGCUCGGGGACUGGUAAAUUCACUUUUGACCUUGCUACAAGGCUCAUACUUCGCCUUCCAGCAAGCUCGGGGACUACAUCGGUACGAUGCAUCUAGCGAUGCAUCUCAGUCUCAAAACUACUUUGGGGAAUUUUCUUUUGACCCUGGCACCACGUGCCUACGUCACCUACUACCAGGCUCGGGGACUAAGUGGGCACACUUCACCUAGCGGUGAAUUUGCUUGCUUUUUUGAUGUUUAUACCUUUCAAAAAGGUAAAGUGGGCACACUUCAUCAGGAAAGAAAUUUUUUUUAAGAGCACCAUGCAUUCUUCGAACAACCUGCUUCUUCGAUGUCAAUGUUGAUCAACUGUCUUUUGAGUUGGUCAAAAUACCGUUGCAACUGUUCGGACGACUUUCCUGCUUAUUGAAGACGUCAAGCCACACUGAUCGAAGAAGCUCAAGACGGCGUGUUACAUCACAAUACAUGGUGCUCGGGGACUAGCUGUGGGGGUAUAAACCCCUAUACCCUUACGGCUAGACUUCGGCCAGGAAGCUUGGCCCAGUACGAGACGAGUUCAAGGCUUGAUCCGACAACCUGGAGUUUCGCGCAAGGAAACAAGAUGGGGAGAUCAAGCAGGAUUCUAGUCGGUUAGAAUAGGAAUUGAUAUCGAAUUAUCCAUGACAAUUGUAACCGACUAGGAUUAGUUUCCAGAUCUGUAACCCUGCCCUCCGGACUAUAUAAGGAGGGGCAAGGGACCCCCCUAGGACAUCAUAUUCUCUCAGCACAAAUCAAUACAACCAGACGCAGGACGUAGGUAUUACGCCAACUCGGCGGCCGAACCUGGAUAAAAAGCUUGUCCGUGUCUUGCGUCACCAUCGAGUUCGUAGUUUGCGCACCGUCUACCGAUAAACUACUACCGAGGGUAUACCCCAAGGUAGACUGCCGACUAGCUUUCGUCGACACCAGCGUUUCUUCUCUUUGGCAAACAAACUUUGACACAAUCAGCACUGUACUCACCCCGGCCUCCAGGAAGAGACCUGCCCAAUAACCCAUGAGCGAGCAAGCAUAGCAUACAAUUGAAGCAAGGUUAUUCAUUGUUUUUUCUUCAAAACAGAUAGAGUUGCAUGUUUUCCAAAUGGCCCAACAAAUAGCUGUGAUGCCCAAGGUGUGAAAUUGCUUUCGAGUUGGGAUCCAACACUCAGACCAAUUCCAACACUAGUAAAAAGAUUUAGGGAUGCUAUUAGCACCAAUUGCAUAAGCGACAAUAGCCUAUACCGCUUUGGCUGUGGAACAUUGGAAAAACAAAUGUUUGUUCUCAUCAGUGUUACAAAAAUAACAAGUAGGGUAACAAAACAUCUUAAUUUGAUCAAGUUGUCUUUUGUGAGAAUAGCAUUAUUCAUAACAAGGCAUAGGUAACUUUUGAUUUUGGAGGGAAUUUUCCCCUUCUAGAUUCUUCUAUGAUAAGGCCCAAUACCACUAGUUACCACGGCUCUAUAAGUAGAUUUGACACUAAAUCGUCCAUUAUUACCAAAUUUCCAAAUCAUAGAAUCCUCUCCACGUGCAAUCAAUCUGCCUCAAGAUAUUUAGCCAACAAAGCCUAAGGUCAUCAAUAAGCUAUCUAGUGAAAGUCACAUUACUAGAAUCAAAAUUUACAUGAUGAACCCAAAUAUUAGGUUGUUCACACAUUUUGAAAAGAUCAGGGAAUAGAUGGCUCAAAGCUUUAUCAUAAAACCAAGCAUCGUUUCUGAAAAGAGUUUUCCUUCCAUCCCUUACUUUUACUUGUCUACCUUGGAGAUAGACAUCCAUGAUUCUUAAUAGAUCAACCCACAUGGCAGUCAGGUUGCCUGUGAUUCAUAGUACAAAAAGAUUUACCAUUUAAAUACUUAUACUAAAUGAUUUGCUGACCCAUUUCCCCUCUCCAAUUUCCACCACCAUUCAUCUUUCUAAUAUUUUUUAUCCCCAGGCCUCCUUUUUUUCUUAUGCUUACAGAUUUAACUCAUUUAACAAGAUGAUAUUUCAUUUUUGUGCCUCCUCCUUGCUAGUCCAGCUUAUCAAUGAUGGUUUUAGGAAGAAGGUAAAUAGACAUAUGAUAGAUUGAGGCAUUAUUUAGACUAGAAUUGGUCAGAGUUGAUCUACCAGCUAUUGACAUGGAACCCCCUUCCCAUACAUCAAGUCUCUUGGCACUUUUCUAUUCUUUUAUAUUGACUUCUAUGGAUCCUUUUAUUGAAUAUUUUUUGGAGCUGCAAUUUCAAAUCGGCCAAUAUAAAGUUUUAGAUCCCGUCAAACACUAUAAUAUUGGUAUAGAGUAUGUAUUACCAAGUUCGUUUGAAAAAUUCAAGGACAUGAAUUUAAAAAAUCUAUAAACUGAAAAAGUUAUAUUUGAAUCUGAUCUCAAAUAACAAAGGUUAUUGGCUAGAAAGCUUAUCGAGCUUUACAAUCUGAUGACAAAACUUGUCUUUUUCUGAUUUUAUUUGAAAAAAUUAUAAAUCUAUUUUUGUACAACGACUCUCUUUAGAGACAUAUGCCACCAUGCUAAUAACAUCUAUAAGUCGAUUUGUAUACACCAACCCUCUUUAGAAGCUAGUACCUCCAUUUUCAAGGACAAUCGGCGUUACCAACCAUCCCUAGGACUGAUUACAAUCCAGAGCAUCCUUCACCAAACGUUUGUAAAUUGCCUCAAAACUAAGAAAAGAAAAAUACUGUUUGUCUGGGGCUCUGGGCUAUCCAGGGCGCUGCAUUCAUUUGUACUAGCAGAAAUGGAAUAUAUAUAUAUAUAUAUAUAUAUAUAUAGAGGUAAAUUACUUUUUACACGCACGAGUAUCUACUCCGACGUAGCUACACGCGUGAAUUCUUCCCUCUCGCACGGAGCAGGAGCGGGAUUUCAUACCGGAUCAACCCGUUAGUCGUGGUACCUCUCUAUUAUUUUGGGCAGACCCGUGGAAGAAACCAUUUUAAUUUCCUGUUUCUUUUUUAUGCGUCGUCCAGCAGCCUCCCAUCCAUGGAUCCACCGGCGGCGGCGCAAACCUCCUUCCCACCGGCGUCGGCGAGCCUCGCCCUCAACAGCCGCGGCGGGCCUCGCCCCACCCCCAUCGGCGGCAGCACGGUCAGGUCAGCGCGCUCGGUGGCCCUCCUCCUCUAGCAGAUCCAGUCGCGAGCGGCUCGCCUCGUGCCGUCGUGCGGAUGCGACUCGUCUGUGGUGCGGCUCCACCGCAAGCCAACGACGGCAGUUGCCUCUUUCCCUAGCGGAUCCACCGCACAAGGCUCGUCCUCUUCAUCAACUAUGGCGUCAGGGCUCCAUCCCACCACUGAUGGCGGCUCCGGCAUCAGCGGGCAGGCAGCCUUUGGCUGGCGGCAUGGCCAUCGGCGACUGGGGACAGAUCAGGUGGUGCUGACCCUCUUCCCUGAUCAAUGGUGGCCUUCCUUCCUCUGGCUACUACAGCGACCCUUCCUAUGCCAUGGUCUUUUUGAUGCAGGUGCCUUCCUAUGCUAUCGUGUGGCUGCAGCAAGUAUGAAUAUGCACCUCAUCUAACAUAUACUGUGUUUUGUUUUUCUUCAUGCGUUAUGUUUUUGUUUUUGCCUUUUGGAUGCCGAGCGUAGAGAUGGAUCGAUGUUCCACAAUCAUAGUUCAUGCCCACAAAUUUUAAUGUUUUCUGCUGCCUAUAUAUAUCUCGACUUUCUCAUGAAAUUGAAUCUAGCUGCAGAGAGCCAGAGAUGGAGCAGCAAAGGUUUCUGUGCAGUUUAUUUUUUAUUUUUAAGCUUCUUGAGCCAGCAACAUAUGUAUUCGUAUCAAAGUAAACAUGUAUGUACUCAUACUCCAUAUAACCAUGUAUAUAGUUUCAUACUCACAAAGAUGUAUAUACUCAUACUCCCACUGUAUAUGUAUAUGUAUAUGCUCAUAUUCCUUUUGUCUAAUUUGAUGCUUCUAUGUUGACGGAAAUACACAUCAAAGAAAUUUAGCAUGCAGGCAUAUAUGGUGGGUGUCCUCGCUAAUCUCAUGUCAUAGUAUCAGUUACUGUAUGUAUUUAUGUAGUUCAUUUACAGGUCUUGCAAGUUUGGAAUGAUGUAAUGUCAUAUUCUUAUACUCGUUUGCAUAUAUCCAUACUCAAGUUGUUCUCUGCCCACACGUAUGUAUCCAUACUCACAAUAAACAUGUAUGUACUCAUACUCCAUAUAAACAAGUAUGAUUUUCAUACUCAUAAACAAGUAUGAUUUUCAUACUCAUAAACAAGUAUGUUCUGCAUGGCGUAUGUACUAAUACUCUGCCAAAAAAAGUUCUCCACAAACGUACCAAUUUUUGUCCUCGAAAAAAUUAUCUGUGAAAAUACAUACUCUAUAAGAUAAACAUUAAAGUAAUCCUCUGUAUAUGGACAUACUCGAAAUACAAGUGUGCGUCCAUACUCUAUUAAAGUAUACUCAUUUUUUCUUAUUAAAGUAUGCGUUCAUAUUAGAGUAUACUCAAUUUUCUUAUUAAAGUAUGCGUUCAUACUUUACUUGCAGAAAAGAACGUCUGUGAACAAUUGAAUCGCUUUCUUCGUAAUACUUAUCCGGCUAGGCGCUCCCCUAAUUAUUUAUUAAAUAAUAAUAAUAAUAUUCACGUACAACCUGUAUACAUGCAGUUCGCGUAGAUCUUGGAUACCAUAUACAUACUCGUGCUUCGAACCCGUUAGAUCGCUAAUGGGCCGCACCACCCGACGCCAGCUACGUCUGCGGGAUGGCUCGACCCUCCGAUGCGUAUAAUAAAGGCUCAGAGUAGUUACUGGUACGUGUAGAAAAAAAGUGUCAUAUAUAUAUAUAUAUAUAUAUAUAUAUAUAUAAAUUUUCUCUACUUCUUAGGAGUAGUUACUCUCUCUUCUAAAACACAGUAUUAGAUGCCGCACUCCCCUAUCGGGUCACAAAGUCGAACCCGGUAAGUCACAUAUACGUGGACAAACUAUACUCCGGUUAUUCAGUCAUCGAGGAAGCUAAAUCACGUAUACAACGGUGGACAAACUGUUCUCCGGUAUUUCAGCCAUCGAAGAAUUGUUGUUUAAUCAUUAUUAUCCAUUUUCCUUUUCUAGAUUAGAGUAUCAUCUUAUAUGCGUUAAACUAUUUCUACUAGUACAUAGCCAUACACGUAUUGGGAGUUGAUGUGUAUGCAAGUACGCUCAUUGUCUACUAGUACGUAUAAAGAAAGAUGGCCAUACACAUACUCCUAUUGGUACAUGGACGUACGUAACAUAAUUGUACAGGUAUGCAUGCAUACUUCUAUACAUUUAGGUAUAUGGACAUACUUCCUAAUAAAAUACUAUGUACACAUACUCUCCUGUGAAAAAAGUAUAUACAUAUACUCUGAGUAUAAAUACAUACAUGCUUCUAAUUAAUAGUAUAAAUACAUACUCUAAUUAGCGGGCAUACUCCUGAAAUAUGCGUAUGUGAGCAUACUGUGAGUGUGCAUAUGUGAACAUGUAUUUGAACAAAAAAAGGUAUGUCUAUAUACUCUGAAAGUGUGCGUAUGUGAUCAUACUUUAAUUAAUAUACUUAAUAAGUAAUAAUGUAUGUAUAUAUAUAUAUAUAUAUAUAUAUAUAUAUAUAUAUAUAUAUAUAUAUAUAUAUAUAUAUAUAUAUAUAUAUAUAUAUAUAUAUAUAUAUAUAUAUAUUCCUUUGUACACGUACGUGUAGUUACUCUCAUCUUCAAUAAACUACAUUGUGUAUGUAUUCAUACUUUUUUAUCAGUUUGAGUAUGUUUGUAUACUUAUAUUAAGAUACUUUAGAUCUUACCACGCGAAAUUUUUUUAAAAAAAAUUAUAUUUUAAAUAUAUUACUAAAAUGCCACUACUAUAUUAUAUACAAUAAGUAUAUCCAUAUACUCUAUGUAUGUAUACGUUAUAUAUAUAUAUAUAUAAACGUACGGCCCUAUAUUGGCCGUAUCGAGUAAUUACUCAACGCUUCUCCUAAUUGGCCGUAUCGAGUAAUUACUCGUAUAAAAAACUCACCAUAUAUAUAUAUAUAUAUAUAUAUAUAUAUACUACAUAAACGUACGGCCCUUUUUUUUUAAAAAAAAAAAUAUCCAACCGAUCAACCUGCUUGAUCCGCUUUCUAUGGUCAGCAUGCAUCACCCGUUUUUUUUCUCUCACCCGCUAGCUACUCAACGCUUCUCCUAAUUGGCCGUAUCGAGUAAUUACUCGUAUAAAAAACUUAUAUAUAUAUAUAUAUAUAUAUAUAUAUAAGUCAAAAGUGAGCAGAAAAAAUACUGAGCAAUACUAAACAACAUUCAGUAUCAUCUAGUCGUACACCUAGGACCGCGAAAUACUGAAACACGAGUACUUAACAAUACUGAAUUUUGUUCAGUAUAACAUUUUGGUGUAGAAUAGCACUUGUGUGUAUAUAUAUAUAUAUAUAAUAAUAAUAAAGCACAAUUAUUUAUCUUCCUUUUGCACUAUGUAACAAUCUUGGGUCAAUGGAACCAUGAAUGCAUUCCUCCCGUCUCGUCUUUCAUGCCUCGUCGGAUCGGGGAAUCAGGUCAUGUCCUAUUCUGCGUCCGCCAACACCUUUUUCCUUGCAUCUGCACUGCACUGCACUGCUACGUACAGCGUGUGCUAUAAGCAGCAGAGGGAGUUUCUUCGAAAUUCUAUGUUCUGAUAAAAUGUGUCUCACAAAGUUGUAGGGCAGUAUAUCAGAUGCCCCGAUGCGCUCAUUAUUGGGAGUGUGUGUGAUCUGAAAGUAGGCUCUAGAAACAUCAGUGGAAAGAGCCAAAGAUUAGCAUAGACAAUUAUAUUCUUUCCGCACAAAGAAACAUCAUAUAUUAUACACAUACGUGGAAAGAAAUAUGAAAUUUAUUUUGGUUCCAAACUAGAACUUGUUUGGCUACAUUCAAAUAUACCCCGAUUUUACAUAGUUUGGGAGGAACUGAAUUGUUAUGAGUUAAACUCAUUAUGUUCAAGUAAAAAUAAAAAAAUGUUUGGUUCAACCUACUCCCCAGUUCCAAAAUAGGGCCUUGUUUACUUCCCAGAAAAUUUUGCAAAAUUUUUCAGAUUCCCCGUCACAUCGAAUCUUUAGACGUAUGCAUGGAGUAUUAAAUAUAGACGAAAAUAAAAAUUAAUUGCACAUUUUGGUCGGAAUUGACGAGACGAAUCUUUUGAGCCUAGUUAGUCUAUAAUUAGACAAUAUUUGUCAAAUACAAACGAAAGUGCUACAGUGUUCAUUUUACAAAAAAUUUUAGAACUAAACAAGGUCUUGGUGACAUUGCUUCCCGUAGAGUCAAACUCUUUUAACUUGACCAAAUAUACUACAUAAUUAAUAUCAUUUUUCAUAAUAAACUUAUUUGAAGAUAUAAGUGUUGCUAAUAUUUUUUAUAAAUCUAAUUAAAUUUUAAAAAAGUUUGACUGAUAUGAAUACCAUAACAACACUUAGUUUGAGACGGAGAAAGUACACACUAGUCAGUACACAUCACCAUCACCGCCAACUCAACAUUGGUCUCGAGUGUUUAUUUGAGCCAUAUAUGUAAGCUUCCCCAUAGAGAUUUUUUGGAGCUAUGUACAAAAAAAAAUGUAAUAUGUACCAUUCAUCGACAGAGAUGGAACGAUGAAAAAAAAAAUCAAAAGCACUAAGAAAAAGAUAAAACUAAAAGUGGCUAAAGUAUUGAUAGCACUUUUCAACCACCGUAACAAAGACUAAUAGUGCCAUGUGGAUACAUCCUUAUUCCAUAAUUUUUUUGGUUGAUGAGCUAUAUGAACUCUGGCCAUUCCGAUCGUCAGAAGGACUAGGGAAUUUUUAAAAUCCUUAUGCAUCCUACAUAUAGGAUAUGCAUAGUAAUUUGAUUUAUUAAAAUGUGCUCGACUAGGUGGCAGCCUCUUGUGCGUGGCCUAGUGCCGCGGCCGCAUCCGAUCCGCCGAGUACCGGCAAAUCUGCGUGGGCCAGGCCAAUAAUGCGAGGCCCUAGCUACCGGCGUGUUACAUGCAUAUUGCACUGAUCAUGACUGAUUUGGUCUGUACUAGCAGGCAGCUCAGGCCUUCUUUAGUAGUUCCAAAAAAUUUUGUAAAAUUUUUCAGAUUUCCCGUAACACCGAAUUUUUAGACAUAUAAAUGAUAUAUUAAAUAUAGAUAAAAAAAUUAAUUGCGCAGUUUGGUUGGAAUUAACGAGACAAAUCUUUUGAGCCUAGUUAGUCCAUGAUUGGAUAAUAUUUGUCAAAUACAAACGAAAAUGCUACAGUAUCGAUUUUCUAAAAUCUUUUAGAACUAAACAAGGCCUCACCCAAAAGCCAAAAUGUUUUUAAGAUUUUUUGUUAAAUUGAAUGUUACAGUACAUAUAUGAAGCAUUAAAUAUAAACGAAAAUAAAAAAUAAUUAUAUAGUUUUCCUGUAAAUUGUGAUAUGAAUAUUUUAACCUUAGUUAGUCUAUCAUUGGAAAAUAUUUACUACAAAUAAACAAAAAUACUAUAGUAACAAAUAACUUUUCGUUUCGGACAACUGAACAAGACCUUAGUAGAGAGCACAGUAAUCAUGCGCUUUUUGACGUUCACUGUUUUGAGUUUCCUCUGCUUUUGAGAAAGCCGUAAAGGGGCUAUUUAGUUAAGCCGUGUUUAUAAGAUUCUCCGUCACAUCAAAUCUUGUAACACAUACAUGACGCAUUAAAUAUAGACGAAAAUAAAAACUAAUUACACAGUUUGCCUGUAAAUCGCGAGACGAAUCUUUUGAUAUUGGAUAAUAUUUGCCACAAACAAACGAAAGUGCUAUAGUAGCAAAAUCCAAAAUUUUUUCGGAUCUAAACAAGGCCUUAGUGAAAAAUUUUGUAAAGUGUAAACGUAGUAUUUUUGUUUCUAUUUGAUAAUUAUUAUUCAAUAUGAAUUAAGUAGACUUAAAAAAUUCGUCUCGUAAAUUACACGUGAAGUAUGCAAUUAAUUAUUUUUUAUCUAUAUUUAAUGUUCUAUAUAUGUGCCGUAAGAUUUGAUGUGAUCUAAAGUCUCGAAAAAAUUUGCAAAAUUUUUGGAACUAAACAGCCCAAAGUUAUCUGUCAAGGUACAGUGGGACACCAGCUUACGCGAAAAAUAUUACAGGUCUUAAUCAUACACUAUCCUGUCACAAUUACAUUCCACCAAAUAUCUGUAACAGGGCAGGUAGCUGGUUUGAAGCCUUUCAUCUAGUCGAAGACGAGAUCUCCUUGAUCUCAUCCACGCUUUCUUUCAACUUUGGCUUAAGUAGGAGAGACCACUUCUACAAAAAAUGGUAGAGUCGAAAACAUGACGUGAGAAGGGUUGUUCGGUAAAUUCUUCUGAAUUGCCAUCUUCUUUCUAGCACUUCUAAUUUAGGCCUUAUUUAGUUUGUAAAAAUUUUCAAGAUUCUCUGUCACAUCGAAUUUUUGGUCACAUGCAUGGAGCGUUAAAUAUAGACGAAAAUAAAAACUAACUGCACAGUUUAUCUGUAAUUUGUGAGUUGAAUCUUUUGAGUUUAGUUACUCCGUGAUUGGACAAUGUUUGUCAAAUAAAAACGAAAUACUAGAGUAGCCAAAAACAAAAAAUUUUGCGAACUAAACAGGACCUUAGGCCCUGUUUAGUUCUCCACCCAAAAAUUUUUCAUCCAUCCCAUCGAAUCUUUAGACACAUGCAUGGAACAUUAAAUGUAGAUAAAAAAAUAAACUAAUAACACAGUUUAGUUGAGAAUCGCGAGACGAAUCUUUUAAGCCUAGUUACUCCAUGAUUAGCCUUAAGUGCUACAGUAACCCACAUAUGCUAAUGAUAGAUUAAUUAUGCUUAAUAAAUUUGUCUUGCAGUUUCCUGACGAGCUAUGUAAUUUGUUUUUUUAUUAGUCUGUAAAAACCCCUCCCGACAUCCUUCCGACAUAUCCGAUGUGACAUCCAAAAAAUUUUCGUUCCCAAUCUAAACAGGCCCUUAGUACAAUCGCAGCUUGUAGUUGCCAUGAAAAGACUUUGGGCCUGUUCCCUUCUAAUUUAAGUGGGUUGUUUGGGCUGCCGGCUGCCGCUGAACAGCCCAGCUGUUCGGCUGCAUGCCUGCAGCAUGUCCCGCUCCGUGCAGCUUCUUUCCUCUUGCUAUCUGCUGCAGCUUCUACAAUGUUGAUGGGCCGGGGUAGCUCCUGCAGCUGCAGCCAGCUGCCAUUUGAUUUUUAUAGAAAUCCUACAUUUUCAAAUACAAUUCAAACUCCUGCGUUUGUCGCCCAAUCGGCCAUUCCUACAAUUGCCCUGUACUCCGAUCUUCUUGAAAGGCGGUGUGAAUUCUCAAGUCCUCGAUCCUCGUCCUAUUUCAUUCUCGGUAGUCAAUGUUUGGGUUCGAACAUCAUGCCUUCCAGUUAAUUAUUCCAUCAAUUCCUGCCAUGGAUUCCUUUCACUCUCUUUAGACCAAUUUGCAGCCACCGUCGACACUGGCCUAUCGAUAUUCUGUACAACAAAUCAGAAAUAAGGAUGUUUUUUUUGAGGAAACUGGAGAGACCGAGGCCUCUACAGAGAGUUUAUUAAAACUGAAAGAACAAGUCAAUAGAGUACAAGAAGAGAGAAAAACAGCAAAGAGGUGCAGGCACCCUACAACUCAGGAAACAAAAAAGAAAACAAAAAAAUCAGCUCUAAACAUCUUGGACUUCUAGACUUUGUAUCCAUGAAGAAAACUGUGGUAAAAUGGAUGGCUUCACUCUAUGCUGCAGAAGAGAUAGCUCCUUUAGGAAGAUCCUUCGACAAUUCAAAAUGCUUAUCCGAACCCCAUUGAAGAUUAACUCGUUUCUCACAUUUCAAAUUGCCCACGAACGCAGAAUGAUAGCAUCCAAGGCAAAUGGGGAGGCCAACUGAUCUUUUAUUUGAGCAAAGAUGUCUGAAUAGUACACUGAAGAGGAAUGAUCACAUUGAUGAGGUCCCAACACAUAGCUGUGAAUGGACAGUCCAGAAACAAGUGCUCAAGUGUUUCUUCUAUCAGGCUGUUGCAAAAGACACAAUUGUAAGAAUCAAGCUGUAAAUUGCUCCUUCUGAGAAAGUUUCUGGUGCUCAGUCUAUCCUUGAUGAGAAGACAAAAGAAAACUUUGUGUUUCGGCUAGCAAUUACUUUUCCAAAGCCAUUUGUAGACUGGAUGAAGCACCGAGUGGCCAACCAGUAGGCGAUAGACCUUUGAGGGAGCAAAAUGGUCAGAGCCCCAACUGUAAAUCCACUUAUCUUGUCAUUGCUCAGCACAAUGCUCUCCAUGAUCUGCUGAACAUUCUGCAACUGCAAGAAGGCCGUCUGAGAGAGGGGGAGCUGAAAUAGGGAGGAGAGUUCAUCUUGUUCAAAGGCCCUUUUCACUGAGAUCUGCUUAUUGAGAGCAAAAGAGAAAAGCUUAGGGGAUGAAUCAAGAAGGAGUUGCUCAUUAAGCCUGGGCAUUCGGAUUACCUGAUUUUUUCGGGUCGAGUAGUUCGGGUAAUUUAAAAUUUGGGUAACAAAAAUUGUUACCCGAUAUUAGUAAAAAAAACACUACCCGCAAUUUCAGGUACCCGAUAAUUCGGGUUCGUGUUGGGGUAUUCCCGAUUUACCCAAAUUUUCAGAAAACAACACACUAUACAAAAUUUCAAUAGAAAUUUAUAUAUAAUUUCAGCAACAAUUUGUAUAGAAUUUGAAUAGCAUUUUGUAGAGAAUAAUAUAUUACUAUCAGUUGUUCAAACAAAGAGAAUUAUGUUCUAAUAAAUUGAUAAGUUUUAAUAUUUAACUAAUAACACAUGAUAAAUACAAAGAUAUAGACAAAUAUUUGGGUAAUUUGGGUAGUUCGGGUACCGGGGGAUACUACCCGAAUUACCCUGGGUAAUCAAAAUUGCUAUCCGAAUUUAGGAUCGGGUACCUCGGGUUCGGGUAAUUCGGGUCCGGGUCCAGGUAAUUCGGGUACGAGUAAUGGAUAUUGGGUAAUUUGCCAGGCUUAUUGCUCAUGCCAAGCAUCAUGCCAGAAAAAAGAGGAAUCCCCAAAAUGCAAUUGUGGCUUAGAAAAGCUUUUAAAGGCUUGAAGAAGCAUUGGGUUAUCUCUCCACUAGAAAGACCCCUUUUUAUGUGAUUUGGCAAUUUUUCAUUUAUAUAAUGCUUUUCCAAGAUUAGCUCAACCCAAGGAACAUCAGCCCUGUUGAAGAAUUUAUGCAGAUUUUUUUGAGAGGAGGGCAUUUUUCUGCUUCUCAAUGUCAAUGACACCUAGGCCCCCCUCAUCCUUUGGGGGCACAAACCAUCUUCCAAGUAGCUUUAGGCAUUCUCUUAGGAUUAAUAUCUGAUACCCUCCAUAGACAGUGCUCCCUAAAUUUAUCAAUCUGCUUGAUGACCCCCUUGGGCAAUUUCAGGGUGCACAUGAAGAAAGUUGGGAGGGCUGAAAACACAGCAUUAGUCAUUUGGAGCCUCCCAGCAAGGUUCAGAAAGCUUGAAAUACGAAAGAGUCUCUUCUCACAUUUAUUUAUCACUGGCAGAAAGUCUUAGGCCUUGGGUCUCUCUAUAUUAAGGGGGAGCCCCAGAUUGGUGAAGGGCAGACUCCCCUUGGAGCAUCCAAAAGUAGCAGCUAGGGUGUCUAACUUUGCAUCAGAAAGGUUUAUAGGGACCAUCAUGGACUUGUUGAAGUUAACUUUCAGCCCAGUAAACGUGGAGAAGCUGUUGAUCAGAUAUUUCAUGAAGAACAAUUGCUUGACAUCCCCUUCCAUUACAAUCAAAGUGUCAUCAGCAUAUUGGAUGAUAGGAAAGUCACUGGUAGAAUUCAGUGAGGAUAGGCAGCCUGAGCAAACCCAUUUGUAAGGCCUUGUUGAUCAUGGAUUGGAGGAAAUCUGCUGCAGUUACAAAAAGAAGGAGAGGGUCCCCUUGCCUGACACCCCUCUUGCAGUGAAUAGUUUUACUAGGAACACCAUUUUAAAGUACAGUAGAGGUCCCUGAGGAGAAGAUAGAGUCCGUCCAUUGUAAUCAUUUUUCUCCAAAGCCCAUGGCCCUCAUGAUUGUAAUCAUAACAUGGUGUUCAAUCUUAUCAAAAGCCUUCUCAAAGUCCAGCUUAAUGAUCACAAUCUCCUUCUUAGAGUGGUGGCAGAGAUGCAGAUAUUCAAAUGCCCAGCCCAGACAGACCUGAAUAGUUCUAGACUUGAUGAAUCCAUACUGAUUCUUAUGAACCAGGGAGGUGAUAUGCUGCUGAAGCCUGAUGGCCAGAAUUUUGGUGAUGAGUUUUAAUGAAGAAUUGAGUAAGGAGAUUGGCCUGAACUCAUUGAUCAAACAAGCAUUGUCCACCUUAGGAUUAAGGGUAAUAAAUGAGGAUUUGAUGCUUCUAAGGCAGACAGAUCCAUCAAAGAAGUCAUUACAGAGCUUAUAGAAGUCAUGCCUGAUAAUUGGUCAACAUCUUUUCAUAAAUUCAUUGUUGAAGCCAUCUGGGCCUGAAGAUUUAUCAUUUGGAAGACUUUUAAUCACUGAUUGAUUUCUUUUUCAAGACGACAGAUCAAUAUUCUUGUGCACAAAGAUACUAGGAUCAACCACAAAGCUGUUCAAAUCUGAGGUACCCAAUCUGUCCUUGUAAUCUUCCCACAACAUCUUUUCUUACCAGAGUGAUCAUUGACAAUAGAUCCAUCGGUCUUCAGGAGUUCCCUGAUAAGAUUACCUCUGUGCCUAAUGGUUGCAUUGGCAUGAAAGAGGUAAAAAAAGUUUUCUAUCUAACAUAGAGAGCCUGUUUGGUUCACAGACAUACUCCACCACACCACAUCUGAGAUGGCGCCACCAAAAUGGGAGCAAUUGUUUGGUUGGCGACGCAUACAUGGCAACAUAAAAACUCGCUGAAGAAGCGUCGAGGAAUCUCAUCAUAAGGUGUGCGCCAAAAAACUUCGCUAAACUUGUGGCACACCCCACCUUUUUUUAAAAAAAAGGGCUGGACGGGCAGAAGCCCCUACAGAAAUUUAUUGAAAAAAAGAAAACAGUUGGUCCAAACAAACAACUAAACAACCAGACAACUAACUAAACGGUAGCUGGCAUCCAUACCUUCACUUGGCGAGCGGUAGCUGGCAUCCAUACACGCUCAUAUACUUAGCUCACAAAAUUCUGUACCAUGCUUGUGAUAGAAAUACAACAUACAACUUGUUGCGUGGUACCUAGACAAGUUGUGGUUCUAACAUUUAUACAAUGAUCGUGUCAUGCAUAUAUGUAUUGAUAUGUCUUGAAAUUGAACUCUGAUAAACGAAUUAUGUAAUCGAUAUUUGACUUGUAAACAAUCUAAAAUGGGAAAAAUUUUGACUACAAAGUGUUAAAUUUUAUCGAGCACUACAACUUUGAUAUAGGAGAUGUCUCCAUCUAAGGUAAAUUAAAAAAAUAAAAUUUAUAGUUCAAAAUCUAAGAACUUAAUAUUUACAUCCGGGCUCCUAAACAAUCUCGAAUAAAAAUUCAAUCAACUAUAAAGUUUUAGAUCUCAUAGAGCUCUUAAUUUUCGUAUAAAUUUUUGUCUCCAUCCAACUUCAUUUGAAAAAGUUUGUACUAUAACUAUUUUUAAGGGCAGGGGCAGUAUAUUUUUAUAGGUGGUUGGCAUAAGACUGAAAAUCAUAUGUUCAGAAGUGGCUCUCUUAAACAAACCAUCCAUAAAAAUAGAUGUAUUUCUAAUGACGAUUUACUUAAUAGAAACACCCCUAAAAAUGUAUUUCCAUGGGUGGUUUAUAAGCUACGGUGCUCAGUUAGUUAUAAACGGUUUGAUAAGUAAACUAUUCCAGUAGGAGGCAUCUUAAAAAAAAUCUUUUUUUACUAGUGUAUGCACUCAUUGGAAGUAUCAUUGGGGUCACUAGAGGCUUUCGGUGCCUUUCUAGACUAGCCAUUGGAACUAGCCGUUAGGUCGCCCUUUAUUUGGCAUCCAACAUCCAGUGCCACCGGAGAUUUUUGGUGAGCUUACAAUUUUUAACAAAAUAUCACUGAAAUUUCUGAAACAUAUUGUCUUUUUCUCAGAUUUUUCUUUAUCAGUGAGGUAUGGCAGCCCGUUGUAUUAUCGUGAUGAUAUGUUGUGUUAUUUUCUCAAUGUUAUAUAAAUUGUGAUGGAUUAAAGAAUUUUUCAAGUGAAGUGAUAUCAAUUUUUUUUAAAAAAAUUCAAUUCAAAUUUAUUUAAAUUUGACCUAAUAUUUUUUAAAUUUCAUGUUCACCUUGGUGAGCACUGAUGCUCUUGGAUUCACCUCUGUAAGCCCAUCGGAGAUGCUCUGUCGUCCUCCGGUGCACUUCAUUCACCGGACUUUUCCGGUGCCUUAUGCACGACUCUGCAUAUUCUCUGUUCUGCACCUAUUUCUUCGAUGCCUCUACUUCAACUCACUAGACAUUUCUGGUGAGAUCUUCCCUUCUCUAUAGAUUAGUCCUGCACGCGUAUUUUCUGCUGUGUUAGUCCUUGGGGACCACCGAAUAAUUCUGGUGAAGGCUGUCUGUAUUCAUUUUGAUCCUUCUCUUCAUCUCUUCACUUCCGGUCUUGUUCAACUUGGUGUUAUGGACAUGUAGCAUAUGUCAUGUAGGUUUUUAACGGCAGCCCUAAUGUGUUUGUUUGAGCCUUUGAGGUGUUGAUCGCUCCGAUCUUCAUGAUGCCUAAUUCCAUGCCAACCGCAUCCAAUGAAUUAAACCUAACAGUUUUUUCGGCUCCUGAUUAGAGCUGUUGUAAAAAAUAUCUAGCAUAAGCCCGCUGGUAAGGGCCACUAUGCAUAGAAUUUAUAAACAAUAACACCAAUCCGUUAGUGUGUGCUUGUACCAGUGCUCGUGAGCUGCACAUUUAUUAAUGUGCUCUAUCUUCGUGUUCCCGUUUGUACUAGCAGCAUAGAGGCUAGAGUGUGGUAUGCCCACAUUCACCAAGUUCCCGGAACGAUGGGGUCAUGGAAUGAGGAACGCUCUUUGAGAAAGGAUUUUCUACUGUCGGAACGAAACUGAUCUACGAUCCCGGUGACUCAUGUGACUGUGGGUAUGCGUAUGUCUAGUGCAAUGCGUUAAUAAAUUUUAAAGAUGUGGAACGGGUUCACUUUUACACCCUCUAUUAAAAAUAUCGGUUGUUUAAGCUUUGUCCCAAGUGAAAUUAAACUUGGGUAUCUUUAACUUUACAUGAAAAAUAUAAUAAUAUCUAAAGCGUUGUAUUAAUUUAUUCCUUAAAUUAUGUCUUAAUUGGUCAAAGUUAAAGAGAGUUUUAUAGUUAUUAGGACAAAACCAAAUUGGAAGAAACCUGCAUUUACAAACAUGGGCAUUACCGAAACACAACAGAACCAAGCGUAUCUAUCUUUUCUUUUUGAGAACAUUAUUCCGGAUAUCUUCAUUUUUUUUAGAAAAUAAAAAACUUCCGGCCGGCCUCUGCAUUACAAUUUACAAUGUUAUCAGCUUAUUGUUAAUCUCUUCAAUAGUUCAACCAUUCUUAUUGGAAUGCAACUAUGUUCAAACACAAAACCAACGGCAAGCAGUAAAAGCGAGACGAUAACAUGGAGUUAGUUAUUAUUAAUCAAACACGGAGGGCAGAUAACAGUUAUCGGAAAGAAGUUCAUCUCAAAGACUCAAACAAGCAGACGGAAAUCGGCCAUUGGAUGAUCACACGCAGCUCGAAUUUGCGUUGCUUGUCGUCCUAGCUUAGCCAAUGUAGUACAAGGGGUCGGGCAGCUUGAAGGUGCGGGCGCCCUCCGGUGCGCCGAGGAUGUCGCUCCACUGGUCGCCGAUGUUGCCGACGAUGACA